Molecule: ribosomal RNA, 432 nt
Filed under: uncultured bacterium
Lineage: Bacteria
Description: partial 16S ribosomal RNA
Rfam family: Bacterial small subunit ribosomal RNA
Source: RNAcentral
GUGGGGAAUAUUGCACAAUGGGCGCAAGCCUGAUGCAGCGACGCCGCGUGAGGGAUGGAGGCCUUCGGGUUGUAAACCUCUUUUGUUUGGGAGCAAGCCUUCGGGUGAGUGUACCUUUCGAAUAAGCGCCGGCUAACUACGUGCCAGCAGCCGCGGUAAUACGUAGGGCGCAAGCGUUAUCCGGAUUUAUUGGGCGUAAAGGGCUCGUAGGCGGCUCGUCGCGUCCGGUGUGAAAGUCCAUCGCUUAACGGUGGAUCUGCGCCGGGUACGGGCGGGCUGGAGUGCGGUAGGGGAGACUGGAAUUCCCGGUGUAACGGUGGAAUGUGUAGAUAUCGGGAAGAACACCGAAGGCGAAGGCAGGUCUCUGGGCCGUCACUGACGCUGAGGAGCGAAAGCGUGGGGAGCGAACAGGAUUAGAUACCCCUGUAGUCC